RNAcentral lists this ribosomal RNA (349 nucleotides) under uncultured Streptococcus sp. RNAcentral describes it as "partial 16S ribosomal RNA". The record is from RNAcentral. Lineage: Bacteria; Bacillati; Bacillota; Bacilli; Lactobacillales; Streptococcaceae.
GACGAGGCUGGCGGUUGCCUAAUGUUGUAUGUCGAGCGAUUUGCCUAUAUGUUUUGGUGGUUGCCCAUAUGAAUCUAGAUACAACCGAGCGCCGAAAGGGCAGCCAAAACGGGUAAAAUACGCCAAAGACAGUGAUAACACCCCGGAAAACAUACGCUAAACCCGAAACAACACACCAUACAUUCUCUAGAUUAAAAGAUGGUUUUGCCAUCACUCUUGGAGGGGCGCCAGGGCCUUACUUCUUAGGAAGGGACCUCUUUUCUACGUACUGGCCUUUUCCCUCUCUAUCACCCUAUUCCCCCCCCUUGGGCUGGGUUUCCCUUACCACCUUUUUUUCCGCCACAUCAAA